CCUAUAAGACUGGGAUAACUUCGGGAAACCGGAGCUAAUACCGGAUAACAUUUGGAACCGCAUGGUUCUAAAGUAAAAGAUGGUUUUGCUAUCACUUAUAGAUGGACCCGCGCCGUAUUAGCUAGUUGGUAAGGUAACGGCUUACCAAGGCAACGAUACGUAGCCGACCUGAGAGGGUGAUCGGCCACACUGGAACUGAGACACGGUCCAGAUUCCUACGGGAGGCAGCAGUAGGGAAUCUUCCGCAAUGGACGAAAGUCUGACGGAGCAACGCCGCGUGAGUGAUGAAGGUUUUCGGAUCGUAAAACUCUGUUAUUAGGGAAGAACAAAUGUGUAAGUAACUGUGCACAUCUUGACGGUACCUAAUCAGAAAGCCACGGCUAACUACGUGCCAGCAGCCGCGGUAAUACGUAGGUGGCAAGCGUUAUCCGGAAUUAUUGGGCGUAAAGCGCGCGUAGGCGGUUUCUUAAGUCUGAUGUGAAAGCCCACGGCUCAACCGUGGAGGGUCAUUGGAAACUGGGAAACUUGAGUACAGAAGAGGAAAGUGGAAUUCCAUGUGUAGCGGUGAAAUGCGCAGAGAUAUGGAGGAACACCAGUGGCGAAGGCGACUUUCUGGUCUGUAACUGACGCUGAUGUGCGAAAGCGUGGGGAUCAAACAGGAUUAGAUACCCUGGUAGUCCACGCCGUAAACGAUGAGUGCUAAGUGUUAGGGGGGUUUCCGCCCCUUAGUGCUGCAGCUAACGCAUUAAGCACUCCGCCUGGGGAGUACGACCGCAAGGUUGAAACUCAAA
This 791-nucleotide ribosomal RNA is filed under the name uncultured Staphylococcus sp. RNAcentral describes it as "bacterial SSU rRNA". It matches the Rfam family "Bacterial small subunit ribosomal RNA", at positions 129 to 905 of the family's 1533-position model. Lineage: Bacteria; Bacillati; Bacillota; Bacilli; Caryophanales; Staphylococcaceae. The record is from RNAcentral.